This 515-nucleotide ribosomal RNA is filed under the name uncultured bacterium. RNAcentral describes it as "bacterial SSU rRNA". It matches the Rfam family "Bacterial small subunit ribosomal RNA", at positions 28 to 533 of the family's 1533-position model. The record is from RNAcentral.
GACGAACGCUGGCGGCGUGCCUAACACAUGCAAGUCGAGCGGAGUCGAUCGACGGAAGCCUUCGGGCGGAAGAUGGUUGACUUAGCGGCGGAUGGGUGAGUAACGCGUGGGCAACCUGCCUCGAAGACCGGGAUAACAGCCCGAAAGGGCUGCUAAUACCGGAUGUGGUCAAGGAUCCGCAUGGAUUUUUGAUUAAAGGGGAAACCCGUUUCGAGAUGGGCCCGCGUCCUAUCAGCUAGUUGGUGAGGUAAAAGCUCACCAAGGCGACGACGGGUAGCCGGCCUGAGAGGGUGACCGGCCACGACUGGAACUGAGACACGGUCCAGACUCCUACGGGGGCAGCAGUGGGGAAUCUUCCACAAUGGGCGAAAGCCUGAUGGAGCGACGCCGCGUGAGCGAAGAAGGCCUUCGGGUUGUAAAGCUCUGUCUGGAGGGACGAAGGAAGUGACGGUACCUCCGGAGGAAGCCACGGCUAACUAACGUGCCAGCGACGCCGACGGUAAGGAUCACGUGUA